Molecule: ribosomal RNA, 313 nt
Filed under: Aurelia sp. 1 sensu Dawson et al. (2005)
Lineage: Eukaryota; Metazoa; Cnidaria; Scyphozoa; Semaeostomeae; Ulmaridae
Description: eukaryotic LSU rRNA
Rfam family: Eukaryotic large subunit ribosomal RNA
Source: RNAcentral
UUUGACCUCAGAUCAGGCAAGACUACCCGCUGAAUUUAAGCAUAUUAAUAAGCGGAGGAAAAGAAACUAACAAGGAUUCCCUCAGUAACGGCGAGUGAAGUGGGAAUGGCUCAAGCUUGAAAUCUCUGUUGCUUGCAACAGCGAAUUGUAGUCUCGAGAAGCGUUUUCCCGGCGGAUCUAUCCUGCCUAAGUUGCUUGGAACAGCACAUCAGAGAGGGUGACAAUCCCGUUUGUGGCAGGGCAGACCGUUCAUGAUACGCUUUCCAUGAGUCGGGUUGCUUGGGAAUGCAGCCCAAAAUUGGUGGUAAACUCC